UACGUAGGUGGCAAGCGUUGUCCGGAUUUACUGGGCGUAAAGGGCGUGCAGGCGGUUUGUUAAGUGCAGGGUGAAAGCUCCCGGCUCAACUGGGAGAGGUCCUUGCAUACUGGCAGACUUGAGGGAGGCAGAGGAAAGUGGAAUUCCCGGUGUAGUGGUGAUAUGCGUAGAUAUCUGGAGGAAUACCGGUGGCGAAGGCGGCAUCCUGGACCGGCAUUGACGCUGAGGAGCGAAAGCCAGGGGAGCAAACGGG
RNAcentral lists this ribosomal RNA (253 nucleotides) under uncultured bacterium. Its description in RNAcentral is "partial 16S ribosomal RNA". It matches the Rfam family "Bacterial small subunit ribosomal RNA", at positions 524 to 776 of the family's 1533-position model. The record is from RNAcentral.